Pelobates cultripes (western spadefoot toad) is the source of this 267-nucleotide non-coding RNA. Lineage: Eukaryota; Metazoa; Chordata; Amphibia; Anura; Pelobatidae. The record is from the annotation of a GenBank genome assembly.
GUGCAAUACUCAGAGACAUGGCCAAGGUAAGAAAGGCUGAAAGACGACCACCACUGAACAAGACACACAAGCUGAAACGUCAAGACUGGGCCAAGAAAUAACUCAAGACUGAGGUUUUAUGGACUGAUGAAAUGAGAGUGAGUCUUGAUGGGCCAGAUGGAUGGGCCCGUGGCUGGAUUGGUAAAGGGCAGAGAGCUCCAGUCCGACUCAGACGCCAGCAAGGUGGAGGUGGAGUACUGGUUUGGGCUGGUAUCAUCAAAGAUGAGC